Molecule: unclassified non-coding RNA, 220 nt
Filed under: Naganishia vaughanmartiniae
Lineage: Eukaryota; Fungi; Basidiomycota; Tremellomycetes; Filobasidiales; Filobasidiaceae
Also listed under: 1 other name
Description: partial internal transcribed spacer 2
Source: RNAcentral
AAACCCUCAACCUUAGAUUGGUUAUUUGACCUUUCUUUGGCUUGGAUUUGGACGUUUGCCGAUGAUAAGUCGGCUCGUCUUAAAAGUAAUAGCUGGAUCUGUCUCGCGACAUGGUUUGACUUGGCGUAAUAAGUAUUUCGCUAAGGACAUCUUCGGAUGGCCCUGUUGCAGACUAAAGACCGCUUUCUAAUCCAUUGAUCUUCGGAUUAAUAUUCAUAAC